AGAGUUUGAUCCUGGCUCAGGACGAACGCUGGCGGCGUGCUUAACACAUGCAAGUCGAACGAUGAUCCCCAGCUUGCUGGGGGGAUUAGUGGCGAACGGGUGAGUAACACGUGAGUAACCUGCCCCUGACUCUGGGAUAAGCGCUGGAAACGGCGUCUAAUACCGGAUAUGACAGCCGACGGCAUCGUCUGGUUGUGGAAAGAAUUUCGGUUGGGGAUGGACUCGCGGCCUAUCAGGUUGUUGGUGAGGUAAUGGCUCACCAAGCCUACGACGGGUAGCCGGCCUGAGAGGGUGACCGGCCACACUGGGACCGAGACACGGCCCAGACUCCUACGGGAGGCAGCAGUGGGGAAUAUUGCACAAUGGGCGCAAGCCUGAUGCAGCAACGCCGCGUGAGGGACGACGGCCUUCGGGUUGUAAACCUCUUUUAGUAGGGAAGAAGCGAAAGUGACGGUACCUGCAGAAAAAGCACCGGCUAACUACGUGCCAGCCGCCGCGGUAAUAC
RNAcentral lists this ribosomal RNA (505 nucleotides) under uncultured bacterium. RNAcentral's name for it is "bacterial SSU rRNA". It matches the Rfam family "Bacterial small subunit ribosomal RNA", at positions 8 to 526 of the family's 1533-position model. The record is from RNAcentral.